GGUUAAGCGACUAAGCGUACACGGUGGAUGCCCUGGCAGUCAGAGGCGAUGAAGGACGUGCUAAUCUGCGAUAAGCGUCGGUAAGGUGAUAUGAACCGUUAUAACCGGCGAUUUCCGAAUGGGGAAACCCAGUGUGUUUCGACACACUAUCAUUAACUGAAUCCAUAGGUUAAUGAGGCGAACCGGGGGAACUGAAACAUCUAAGUACCCCGAGGAAAAGAAAUCAACCGAGAUUCCCCCAGUAGCGGCGAGCGAACGGGGAGCAGCCCAGAGCCUGAAUCAGUGUGUGUGUUAGUGGAAGCGUCUGGAAAGGCGCGCGAUACAGGGUGACAGCCCCGUACACAAAAAUGCACAUGCUGUGAGCUCGAUGAGUAGGGCGGGACACGUGGUAUCCUGUCUGAAUAUGGGGGGACCAUCCUCCAAGGCUAAAUACUCCUGACUGACCGAUAGUGAACCAGUACCGUGAGGGAAAGGCGAAAAGAACCCCGGCGAGGGGAGUGAAAAAGAACCUGAAACCGUGUACGUACAAGCAGUGGGAGCACGCUUAGGCGUGUGACUGCGUACCUUUUGUAUAAUGGGUCAGCGACUUAUAUUCUGUAGCAAGGUUAACCGAAUAGGGGAGCCGAAGGGAAACCGAGUCUUAACUGGGCGUUAAGUUGCAGGGUAUAGACCCGAAACCCGGUGAUCUAGCCAUGGGCAGGUUGAAGGUUGGGUAACACUAACUGGAGGACCGAACCGACUAAUGUUGAAAAAUUAGCGGAUGACUUGUGGCUGGGGGUGAAAGGCCAAUCAAACCGGGAGAUAGCUGGUUCUCCCCGAAAGCUAUUUAGGUAGCGCCUCGUGAAUUCAUCUCCGGGGGUAGAGCACUGUUUCGGCAAGGGGGUCAUCCCGACUUACCAACCCGAUGCAAACUGCGAAUACCGGAGAAUGUUAUCACGGGAGACACACGGCGGGUGCUAACGUCCGUCGUGAAGAGGGAAACAACCCAGACCGCCAGCUAAGGUCCCAAAGUCAUGGUUAAGUGGGAAACGAUGUGGGAAGGCCCAGACAGCCAGGAUGUUGGCUUAGAAGCAGCCAUCAUUUAAAGAAAGCGUAAUAGCUCACUGGUCGAGUCGGCCUGCGCGGAAGAUGUAACGGGGCUAAACCAUGCACCGAAGCUGCGGCAGCGACGCUUAUGCGUUGUUGGGUAGGGGAGCGUUCUGUAAGCCUGUGAAGGUGUGCUGUGAGGCAUGCUGGAGGUAUCAGAAGUGCGAAUGCUGACAUAAGUAACGAUAAAGCGGGUGAAAAGCCCGCUCGCCGGAAGACCAAGGGUUCCUGUCCAACGUUAAUCGGGGCAGGGUGAGUCGACCCCUAAGGCGAGGCCGAAAGGCGUAGUCGAUGGGAAACAGGUUAAUAUUCCUGUACUUGGUGUUACUGCGAAGGGGGGACGGAGAAGGCUAUGUUGGCCGGGCGACGGUUGUCCCGGUUUAAGCGUGUAGGCUGGUUUUCCAGGCAAAUCCGGAAAAUCAAGGCUGAGGCGUGAUGACGAGGCACUACGGUGCUGAAGCAACAAAUGCCCUGCUUCCAGGAAAAGCCUCUAAGCAUCAGGUAACAUCAAAUCGUACCCCAAACCGACACAGGUGGUCAGGUAGAGAAUACCAAGGCGCUUGAGAGAACUCGGGUGAAGGAACUAGGCAAAAUGGUGCCGUAACUUCGGGAGAAGGCACGCUGAUAUGUAGGUGAAGCGACUUGCUCGUGGAGCUGAAAUCAGUCGAAGAUACCAGCUGGCUGCAACUGUUUAUUAAAAACACAGCACUGUGCAAACACGAAAGUGGACGUAUACGGUGUGACGCCUGCCCGGUGCCGGAAGGUUAAUUGAUGGGGUCAGCGCAAGCGAAGCUCUUGAUCGAAGCCCCGGUAAACGGCGGCCGUAACUAUAACGGUCCUAAGGUAGCGAAAUUCCUUGUCGGGUAAGUUCCGACCUGCACGAAUGGCGUAAUGAUGGCCAGGCUGUCUCCACCCGAGACUCAGUGAAAUUGAACUCGCUGUGAAGAUGCAGUGUACCCGCGGCAAGACGGAAAGACCCCGUGAACCUUUACUAUAGCUUGACACUGAACAUUGAGCCUUGAUGUGUAGGAUAGGUGGGAGGCUUUGAAGUGUGGACGCCAGUCUGCAUGGAGCCGACCUUGAAAUACCACCCUUUAAUGUUUGAUGUUCUAACGUUGACCCGUAAUCCGGGUUGCGGACAGUGUCUGGUGGGUAGUUUGACUGGGGCGGUCUCCUCCUAAAGAGUAACGGAGGAGCACGAAGGUUGGCUAAUCCUGGUCGGACAUCAGGAGGUUAGUGCAAUGGCAUAAGCCAGCUUGACUGCGAGCGUGACGGCGCGAGCAGGUGCGAAAGCAGGUCAUAGUGAUCCGGUGGUUCUGAAUGGAAGGGCCAUCGCUCAACGGAUAAAAGGUACUCCGGGGAUAACAGGCUGAUACCGCCCAAGAGUUCAUAUCGACGGCGGUGUUUGGCACCUCGAUGUCGGCUCAUCACAUCCUGGGGCUGAAGUAGGUCCCAAGGGUAUGGCUGUUCGCCAUUUAAAGUGGUACGCGAGCUGGGUUUAGAACGUCGUGAGACAGUUCGGUCCCUAUCUGCCGUGGGCGCUGGAGAACUGAGGGGGGCUGCUCCUAGUACGAGAGGACCGGAGUGGACGCAUCACUGGUGUUCGGGUUGUCAUGCCAAUGGCACUGCCCGGUAGCUAAAUGCGGAAGAGAUAAGUGCUGAAAGCAUCUAAGCACGAAACUUGCCCCGAGAUGAGUUCUCCCUGACUCCUUGAGAGUCCUGAAGGAACGUUGAAGACGACGACGUUGAUAGGCCGGGUGUGUAAGCGCAGCGAUGCGUUGAGCUAACCGGUACUAAUGAACCGUGAGGCUUAACCUU
RNAcentral lists this ribosomal RNA (2904 nucleotides) under Escherichia coli. RNAcentral's name for it is "23S ribosomal RNA". It matches the Rfam family "Bacterial large subunit ribosomal RNA". The record is from RNAcentral. RNAcentral also lists the same sequence under 1 other name. Lineage: Bacteria; Pseudomonadati; Pseudomonadota; Gammaproteobacteria; Enterobacterales; Enterobacteriaceae.